UACGAAGGGAGCUAGCGUUGUUCGGAAUCACUGGGCGUAAAGCGCACGUAGGCGGAUUUGCCAGUCAGGGGUGAAAUCCCGGGGCUCAACCUCGGAACUGCCUUUGAUACAGCAAGUCUUGAGUUCGAGAGAGGUGGGUGGAAUUCCUAGUGUAGAGGUGAAAUUCGUAGAUGUUAGGAAGAACACCGGUGGCGAAGGCGGCCCACUGGCUCGACACUGACGCUGAGGUGCGAAAGCGUGGGGAGCAAACAGG
RNAcentral lists this ribosomal RNA (253 nucleotides) under uncultured bacterium. Its description in RNAcentral is "partial 16S ribosomal RNA". It matches the Rfam family "Bacterial small subunit ribosomal RNA", at positions 524 to 776 of the family's 1533-position model. The record is from RNAcentral.